GAUGAAGAACGCAGCGAAAUGCGAUAAGUAAUGUGAAUUGCAGAAUUCAGUGAAUCAUCGAAUCUUUGAACGCACCUUGCACCCUUUGGCCAUUCCGAAGGGCAUGCCUGUUUGAGUAUCAUGAACACCUCAACUCUUCAUGGUUUUCCGUGAUGAGCUUGGACUUUGGGGGUCUUGCUGGCCUAUGGUCAGCUCCUCUAAAAUAAAUCAGCUUGCCAGUGUUUGGUGGGUAUCACAGGUGUGAUAACUAUCUACGCUUGUGGUUUUCCACCAGGUAACCUUCAGCAGUGGAGGUUCGCUGGAGCUCACAGAUGUGUCUCUCCUCAGUGAGGACAGCUCUUUGAAUGUUUGAUCUCAAAUCAGGUAGGACUACCCGCUGAACUUAAGCAUAUCAAUAAGCGGAGGA
This 406-nucleotide unclassified non-coding RNA is filed under the name soil metagenome. RNAcentral describes it as "partial contains 5.8S ribosomal RNA, internal transcribed spacer 2, and large subunit ribosomal RNA". The stretch from base 1 to 121 matches the Rfam family "5.8S ribosomal RNA", at positions 35 to 154 of the family's 154-position model. The record is from RNAcentral.